AAGAAAGAAUAUGGAGAUGUAAUUUUAAAAGAGGAUAGGAAGUAUUUUAGAGCAUAAAACAAAUAAACAAAAACUCAUAUAUUUCUUUUUUUAAUAUAUAAAUUAGGAGAAAGAGUAGAAGAGUUGGGAAAGUUGAGAGGAAGAGGAAGAGAAAGAGAAAGAGAGAAAGGGUGCAUGAAGAGCAAGAUGGAGAAGCAGGGCACGUGCUUUACUAACUCAGUUCCAAUUCAAAAAUCCCUUCUUUUCUUUUUCUUUCUCUUUUUCUUUUUUCCCAAUGUUUGUUAAGAAGUGAUUUUGAAAUUUGGAAGAAAAAGGGGUUUUUUUCUUUUUCUUUUUCUUUUUUAAUGUAUUUUUGAGUUAGUUCUUCAUGUGCCCCUCUUCACCAUCAAGACCACUGCACCUUAAUUAUUGGAAAUUCUGCUUCUGCUUCUGCUUCUGCUUCUGCUUCUGCCUUCUUCAUUCAGCACUUUUAUUUUUUGUUUUUCAGUUCUAGUGUUCUUCAGCAAGAAAUUUUCUUACCCAACAAACUUGGAGUGGAAUGGAUUCAACAGGCCAAAUGAUCAAGUGAACACUCUCAAUUUUAGUGUCAAAGCUGUAGAAAACUUCCGAGAAAUUAGUUCUUACAAUUUAUACUAUUAGAUAUAUGAGAGAAAAGUUGUAAGACAAUUUUAAAUAUGCUUGUAUUCCAAUAUUUACGUUGGUCUACAAAUUAUUUUAGUAAUUCUGAUCCAUUGGCUAUUGCGAAGCAAUUACAUUA
This is a long non-coding RNA of Cucumis melo (muskmelon), 757 nucleotides long. RefSeq lists it as uncharacterized. The transcript is spliced from 2 exons. Lineage: Eukaryota; Viridiplantae; Streptophyta; Magnoliopsida; Cucurbitales; Cucurbitaceae. The record is from RefSeq and is a predicted model, not a curated record.